AAUUAGCUUAUGAAGGUUUCAUUAUUUCGGGUCAAAUGGUACUUUACCAUUUCCUUGAGUAUAUAUCAUAUAUGCACUCAAUGUAGUCAUAAGGAUUUUCAUUCUUAUUUCUUUCGAAUUAAGAGGUGCAACUCUAUGACAUAGUCAUAAAGUUCAAAACCAUUCAACUGAGACGGUUUAUAAAUCCUUCUCGACUACCUUGGAGCUUUUGGUAUAGGAACUAGGUUGUUAUAUUUGUUGAUUACUUUCUUGUCUCUCAAAGAACCCAUUCUUUGAGUUCUAUCUCUCGUUUAUUUGCUUUUAGGCAAAUCACAUUGUAGGAUUACAAUGAACUACUCAACAAAACAACAUUUGUUAGUUGGUUUAUAGAAGCGAUAUCCAAAAGUUAAUUUAAGGAUAUCCCACAAGAUUGUUAUCAAACAAAUAUUGCUUAUUAGCACACAACCUCAAAUCUUAACAUGCUUAAGAUUUGUCUUUCUUUCCAACUACAUCUUAUGGAGUCAUGAAAAUAUUGGAAGAUCUUCUAAUUUACAAUCAUAUUGUUUUAGAAGUAUAUAUCCUAUAUAUGGGUAAUAGAUAACAUCUAACGAACUAAAUCUUAUUCGAGUUCGUUCUUCUCCUAAAGGAGAAAAUUCAUUAUCUUAUGAUGCUAUUUUCCUUGAUAUCUUUCAAGAAAACUAUUCUAAAGUGUUACCAUUCCUUGGAUCAAAUCUAAGGAUGUAAAUACUUUAGAUGUCUUACUCAUCAACUUACAUUUCUUGAAUUCUUUGAAACCUUUUGCAAAGUAUUCGAACUUGUGUUUAUUCAAAAUAAACUAUAGUCCAACCGAGAGUGAUCUUCGGUGAAUGUCAUAUAACAUGAGUAGUAUUAUGUUGUGGACAAGUGCCACUAACAUCUAAGUGAAUUAACCUCAACAACUUUGUGAUUCUUUCUUCUUUCCAAAAAGAAUAAAGAUUCGAACAUUUCGCCUCUAUACAAUUUUAACAAGAAGGUAUUGGAUCCGGAUCUAACGAUCCAAAACAUCCAUCUAUGACCAACUCGUAAUUUAUGUUUUAGAGGUAUCACAACUUUAGUUGGGAUUAGUCACUACCUUGCAACCUUUUGGGUUUUAAGCAUCGUUAUAUUCUAAACAGUUAACACUACCAUAUCAUCUCUACUAUAGAGACAAUUAAUUAGAUUACUAUAAUCCAAUCAUUGAUUAAUAAAGAACAAUGUUUUGUCAAACAAAACAUUCAUCCAUCUCUACUUUAGUGACGGAAUUAAAUUCCUUAAAAUUGGAAUGUAAAGACAAUCUUUGGUAGUUCAUAUGAGGAAGUAAGUACUAUCUGCUUUCGCAGAGAUCUAUAUUUUAUUCACGUUCCGAAUGUGAAGUACCUUUUCUUCUCUCAUAUAUCUUCUACUUCUUAUUAGUCACACGUUUACAAUGAUUGUAAAACAUAGUUACUAAUACGGAAUCAAGCAUUCAAGUAGAAGAACCAACUGUUUUGAACUAUUCAAGAACAAUUUACAACACCUUCGAAAGGUGUGUUCUUGACACUUGCAAGACAUCUCUUGCAAAUACCCCUUCCAAUGUCCAUCCUUUCAUAAAGAAAGUUUGUUCCCUUGGAGUUAAUUUAAUCUUCUUCAUUUGACUUCUCCUUUGACUACAAUAGUCAUGGUCCCUAAACUCCCACCAUCUCUCUUGAAACUUAUUUCAAUUUGGAGAGCGUGUGGUUAUUGUUCACUAUAUAGUUUACAAUAAACUUAGUGAACCAUUAGGAUAGGGACACAUAGGUGAAGUCCUUGCCUAGUUUCCGUCUCGUUAAGUGGUUUAUCACUUCAACACUCAAUGAUUCAAAAUCAUCAUAAGUCCAUGUUAAUGGACUAUUUUUGUCAACCAACCAUUAUGUUCUAAACAUAAUUACAAACUUUCAAGAGUUGUUCAAGGCAACUCUCAUUUCUUCAUACAACAAUUUGUAAGUGAAGAAUCAUGGCACAUAAAGUGUCCAUGCCUUUGUGCUUUCUUUUCAAGUUCUUUGUUCAUUUAACAAAGAAACAAGCACUAGUGUUUGCAUUGACUAAGGGUUGUUCAAAGCAACUAUUAUUUCUUCAUACAACGAUUUGUAAGUGAAGAACUAAUAACACUAAAAGUGUCUUUGUCAUUAUGCUAAUCUUCGUAAGUUCCUUUGUUCAUUUAACAAAGGAUUAAGCAUUGGUUGUUUGUGUUGUCCUCUUCAUGAUAGACUUAUCUAACAUGUUCUUUCAAUGAUACAUUACCAAUAGAACGAUUUUGAGGAUGAGACUACUUAGGUACAUAUACAAUCCAUUUAAGACAAUCUUUGGGAUUGUGUUACCAAGU
Molecule: long non-coding RNA, 2338 nt
Filed under: Malus domestica (apple)
Lineage: Eukaryota; Viridiplantae; Streptophyta; Magnoliopsida; Rosales; Rosaceae
Description: long non-coding RNA (MDOM_LNC018803)
Source: RNAcentral